RNAcentral lists this ribosomal RNA (470 nucleotides) under uncultured bacterium. RNAcentral describes it as "bacterial SSU rRNA". It matches the Rfam family "Bacterial small subunit ribosomal RNA", at positions 335 to 803 of the family's 1533-position model. The record is from RNAcentral.
ACUCCUACGGGAGGCAGCAGUGAGGAAUAUUGGACAAUGGGCGCAAGCCUGAUCCAGCCAUGCCGCGUGCAGGAAGACUGCCCUAUGGGUUGUAAACUGCUUUUAUACAGGAAGAAACACUCCCUCGAGUAGGGAGCUUGACGGUACUGUAAGAAUAAGGAUCGGCUAACUCCGUGCCAGCAGCCGCGGUAAUACGGAGGAUCCAAGCGUUAUCCGGAAUCAUUGGGUUUAAAGGGUCCGUAGGUGGAUAAUUAAGUCAGAGGUGAAAGUCUGCGGCUCAACCGUAGAAUUGCCUUUGAUACUGGUUAUCUUGAAUUAUUAUGAAGUAGUUAGAAUAUGUAGUGUAGCGGUGAAAUGCAUAGAUAUUACAUAGAAUACCAAUUGCGAAGGCAGAUUACUAAUAAUAUAUUGACACUGAUGGACGAAAGCGUGGGGAGCGAACAGGAUUAGAUACCCUGGUAGACUGUCAU